Molecule: ribosomal RNA, 433 nt
Filed under: uncultured bacterium
Lineage: Bacteria
Description: partial 16S ribosomal RNA
Rfam family: Bacterial small subunit ribosomal RNA
Source: RNAcentral
AACGAACGCUGGCGGCAUGCCUAACACAUGCAAGUCGAACGAGACCUUCGGGUCUAGUGGCGCACGGGUGCGUAACGCGUGGGAACCUGCCCUUAGGUUCGGAUUAACUCCCCGAAAGGGGUGCUAAUACCGGAUAAUGUCUUCGGACCAAAGAUUUAUCGCCUUUGGAUGGGCCCGCGUUGGAUUAGCUAGUUGGUAGGGUAAAAGCCUACCAAGGCGACGAUCCAUAGCUGGUCUGAGAGGAUGAUCAGCCACACUGGGACUGAGACACGGCCCAGACUCCUACGGGAGGCUGCAGUGGGGAAUAUUGGACAAUGGGCGAAAGCCUGAUCCAGCAAUGCCGCGUGAGUGAUGAAGGCCUUAGGGUUGUAAAGCUCUUUUACCCGGGAUGAUAAUGACAGUACCGGGAGAAUAAGCGCCGGCUAACUCCGUG